Molecule: ribosomal RNA, 321 nt
Filed under: uncultured bacterium
Lineage: Bacteria
Description: bacterial SSU rRNA
Rfam family: Bacterial small subunit ribosomal RNA
Source: RNAcentral
CUUCGGGGCUAGCGGCGGACGGGUUAAUAACGCGUGGGAACGUACCCUUCUCUACGGAAUAGCCUCGGGAAACUGAGAGUAAUACCGUAUACGCCCUCAGGGGGAAAGAUUUAUCGGAGAAGGAUCGGCCCGCGUUGGAUUAGGUAGUUGGUGGGGUAAUGGCCUACCAAGCCGACGAUCCAUAGCUGGUUUGAGAGGAUGAUCAGCAACACUGGGACUGAGACACGGCCCAGACUCCUACGGGAGGCAGCAGUGGGGAAUCUUAGACAAUGGGGGAAACCCUGAUCUAGCCAUGCCGCGUGAGCGAUGAAGGCCUUAGGG